RNAcentral lists this unclassified non-coding RNA (1202 nucleotides) under Zea mays. RNAcentral's name for it is "misc RNA Zm00001eb331860". Lineage: Eukaryota; Viridiplantae; Streptophyta; Magnoliopsida; Poales; Poaceae. The record is from RNAcentral.
CUGUGGCACCAUGAAAUGGGCAGCCGGUGGUGGUGGUCGGUGAAAGGGCCCAGGCUGGUAGAUGCCAGGCUGCUGCUGCUGUUGAUAUGGCAUUACCGGAACUCUUGGGAAGUUCCUAGGGGAGAAAUUAGCCCCUCUCUCAUGGUCACGGCGACCCCGGUAACCACCACGACCUCCAACGCCAUUGCUACUACUACUAUUUCGGGGAUUAUUAUUCCAGUGGUUGCUGCUACCACUGCUAUUUCUAUUGUUCCCAUCACCACCACCACCACCACCUCGUAUGUUGUGGUUCCAGUGGCCAUUGCCAGAAGGAUUUCUGCUGCUGUCAUUGUCAUUCCCACGGGCACAACGAGUGCCAGGGACAUUAUCAUCCAAAUUGAUGGGACCAUCGCCAUUGCUGCUGUUGCAACCGCUGUCAGUACCAAGGCUUCCAUCAUUCCAGUUACCAUCACCACCACUGCCGCUGCUCCCGUCACCUCCGCUACUAUUGGCAGCCCUGACGCCACCAUUGCUACCAUUUCCACGGUUGCCACUGCGCCGAACUGGAAAUGUCUGGGUUGUGGCACCGUUCUGCUGAGAGGAAGCCGCAGGCGUGCGAGGAGGUAUGGAGGACCGCCGAAACGCAAGAGAUGUACGCGCAUCGGAAAAAUCGCGAGAUUCAGUACCUGCGGAGGCGGGCCGGAAACAUCGGAGAGGGCAUUGAGGGAGUCGGACGAGCCCGACUUGGGGCACGCGCGCGUCGACUCCACGAGCGCCGGCCACGAGGCGUCCCCGCCGAUGAUGCCGCCGCCCUCUGGGGUCGCCUCCGCCGCGGCGGCGGGGGUCUGCGCCAGCACGCUCCACGUUGUCUUCCUUGCCGCCGCAUUGGUGGGAUCGGCCCCCUCGGGGUGGGCCGGUGGAUCCCUGCGGGACGCCUCGGGCGCCGAACGGCCGGACUCCGGCGGUACCGCGAUCGCCUGCGGAACGGCGGCCGCUGAUUGCGCUGGCGCUGGCGCGGGCGCGGGGCCACCAGCAGCCGGCGACAUCACGGGGCGAGACGACUGGGAAUCGAGCUGGGGGUUUGGGGCGGGGGAAUGGGAAGGCGAGGACGAGGAGGCAGGAGGAGAGACGAGAGAUGAGGGGACUGGGAAGGCGGGGGCCGGAGAGGAGGCUCGGUGUGGCGGCGGUGGGAGGUUAGGUGCGUAAUUAGCAGAAGUAGCGGG